CCUACGGGUGGCAGCAGUGAGGAAUAUUGGUCAAUGGACGAGAGUCUGAACCAGCCAAGUAGCGUGAAGGAUGACUGCCCUAUGGGUUGUAAACUUCUUUUAUAUGGGAAUAAAAUGUUCCACGUGUGGGAUUUUGUAUGUACCAUAUGAAUAAGGAUCGGCUAACUCCGUGCCAGCAGCCGCGGUAAUACGGAGGAUCCGAGCGUUAUCCGGAUUUAUUGGGUUUAAAGGGAGCGUAGGUGGAUUGUUAAGUCAGUUGUGAAAGUUUGCGGCUCAACCGUAAAAUCGCAGUUGAAACUGGCAGUCUUGAGUACAGUAGAGGUGGGCGGAAUUCGUGGUGUAGCGGUGAAAUGCUUAGAUAUCACGAAGAACUCCGAUUGCGAAGGCAGUUCACUGGACUGCAACUGACACUGAGGCUCGAAAGUGUGGGUAUCAAACAGGAUUAGAUACCCGAGUAGUC
RNAcentral lists this ribosomal RNA (460 nucleotides) under uncultured bacterium. Its description in RNAcentral is "partial 16S ribosomal RNA". It matches the Rfam family "Bacterial small subunit ribosomal RNA", at positions 338 to 795 of the family's 1533-position model. The record is from RNAcentral.